GCCUUCGUGGUGUAACGGUAGCACACUCGUCGCGUAUUCUAGAAGUCCGGGUUCGAGUCCUGGCGAAGGCA
Molecule: non-coding RNA, 71 nt
Organism: Stegodyphus mimosarum
Lineage: Eukaryota; Metazoa; Arthropoda; Arachnida; Araneae; Eresidae
Source: Rfam